RNAcentral lists this ribosomal RNA (433 nucleotides) under uncultured bacterium. Its description in RNAcentral is "partial 16S ribosomal RNA". It matches the Rfam family "Bacterial small subunit ribosomal RNA", at positions 29 to 507 of the family's 1533-position model. The record is from RNAcentral.
AACGAACGCUGGCGGCAUGCCUAACACAUGCAAGUCGAACGAGGCCUUCGGGUCUAGUGGCGCACGGGUGCGUAACGCGUGGGAACCUGCCCUUAGGUUCGGAAUAACUCCCCGAAAGGGGUGCUAAUACCGGAUAAUGUCUUCGGACCAAAGAUUUAUCGCCUUUGGAUGGGCCCGCGUUGGAUUAGCUAGUUGGUAGGGUAAAAGCCUACCAAGGCGACGAUCCAUAGCUGGUCUGAGAGGAUGAUCAGCCACACUGGGACUGAGACACGGCCCAGACUCCUACGGGAGGCAGCAGUGGGGAAUAUUGGACAAUGGGCGAAAGCCUGAUCCAGCAAUGCCGCGUGAGUGAUGAAGGCCUUAGGGUUGUAAAGCUCUUUUACUCGGGAUGAUAAUGACAGUACCGGGAGAAUAAGCUCCGGCUAACUCCGUG